This 2736-nucleotide long non-coding RNA is filed under the name Anas platyrhynchos platyrhynchos (common mallard). RNAcentral describes it as "lncRNA (ENSAPLG00000027192.1)". Lineage: Eukaryota; Metazoa; Chordata; Aves; Anseriformes; Anatidae. The record is from RNAcentral.
GGAUGCCUACAGCUGACAAGAGCUAACUGCUCUCACGGCAGAGUCUCUCUCCAGCCAGAUUCCCCAGGGUGACAGAGGAAGCACAGCUGGGGCAGGCUGCUGGGGGAAAAGAGCCUUCUCCCAGAAUGCUGACAGCAUUCAUUCAGGAGAGCUCCUUGAGGAUGGGAGAAGAGGGUGUAAUAAAUGGCUCAGUCUUCAAAAUAGGACUAUAAUCAAAGUUUACAAUUUAUUAAAGGAAUAGAGGUAAGCAAACAGCGAUGGGUGCACUGGGAGUCUCUGCUCCACCAAGACAUACACCAGUUACAUCAAGCAGCUGAUUUGUAUGCUCCCAGGCUGAUACAUAUUCAUUACUACUUCUAAAUAAAACAGGGUUAUUAUAAUUAGUUUCUGGAAUCCCAACUGGAGCAUGUGUAUCAGUCUCCGGUGGUCCCUCUGAGGGUCUCUGGGGGGUCUCUCGUGCUGAAGGCUCAUAGUCUUCCUCCCUCUUGUCCUUCUCCUUUGUCCAACUUGGCUGUAUGUCAGAGACUUGUGCAACAUCCCCUGCAAGCUUUGUCUUUUAGUUGUUCUUCAGCUCUCGCCAUCUCCUUAAUCUCCUGGCCAGAUAUCAGAGACUUGCAUAGUGUCCCAUGCAAUAGUCAUAAUAGUUAGCAGUUAUUCUGAAACCCCCCAGAUAUCAGAGACUUCAAGGAAAAGCCUACAAAUACAUUGCCCUUCAAGCUCUCUAUUGACACGAAUUGCUAAACCAUUCCUUUGCAAGGUACGAGAAUUAUAUACAUUAACCACUCUGUUCUUCUUAGACUUGUGGUUAUACAAGGGUAUGUAAGACAGAAGGUCACAUUCAUCAUACCAUGCGGCCCUAGCAUUGUUCCAUACUGACACAAAUCAGAUGAACAUAUCUCACAAGGGGAAGGGCAAGCGCUGUGCUGCAGCCUGGCCCCAAACUCAAGCCCCUGCCUGCGAGGCUCACCAGAGAGCAGGACAAGUAGCCACUGCAUCUGUGUGCCCAUUGCCGGGCUGUUUCACGGGUUGCCUUUGUGGAGAUUUGAUGUUUCUCUCUAAUCGUUGCAUGCUCAGCACAAAGCAUGUUUUUGCAGGCAUUGCUCUCCUGCGCACACUGCCAGUGUACAGCCAGGGAAGCAGCUGCUGCAGCAGCUCAGAGCAGAAGGCCACGGUUGUUCACUCAUCCAAUGCAGCUGCAAAGGAGCCUCCAUUUUUUCGGGGAACUCCAGGCCUCUGGGUACAGCAAGGGACAGGGUUCCCCUAUCUCUUUUUCUCUCUUUGCUGGGAGGGUCUGGAUGAGGGCAUCUACUUCUCUGAUUUGGCAGGUGGCUGCCACAGCUUGCACCACGGCUUCUCCUUGGGCCAGACCUCAGAAAAGAGACACUGGUCCUCGCAGAGAGCUGUCGCCUGCUGGAAAAGCAAGACCAGGUUGUUGAGCAAAAGCUAUAGCAGCAAAUCCUCGUCUUGUGUGCUUGCAAGAUGCUGGCAAUGCAUCAGGAAAUAGGCUGCCUGUGCCGCCAGCAAGACAAAAGAACUCUGCAGGAACUGAUGGUUGAGGAGCAGCUGAAGAAAGAGUGGGAGGCAAAGUACAUGUGGGCCCCGUGCAAGGCUCAUGGCAAAAGGGAUGGAAGAGAGAGGGCCUGGGUAUGACAAGUGCUUUCAAGCACUCCAGAAGGAACCUUUCUCUUCUCUCAGGGGGCCAAGUGCACACUCUUCCCCUCUUAGCUCUGCCACGAAGCUUCUCUCCAAGAGAAAAACCUGCCCUUUCUGAGCCUUGUUUUCCUUCGUGAAGGAUGAGGGCUCCUGCAAAGCCCGCUGCCCUGGAAGUGUUCUUGCCCUUAGCUUCAGAAGCCGAGGGCUGGGGCCUUUCAUGCUGCCUUUCUGAGAGAAAGCAGGCUGCAGGGAAACUGCCCUGAGCCUGGGGAAACCCUGAGGGGACGACUGCCCCACUGCCAUGGGACAGCUCCCACAUUAGCACUCCCCUCUAAAAACGCUCCCUGUUUCUGCUUCCCCUGUAGCAGAAGAUGCAGGCGGAAAUGCAGAGGCUGCAGAGGGGGUGUGCUUCCUCCAUGGCACUCAUGGACCUGAAGAACGCUCUGCAGCUGGUACCAGUGGAGAUGAAGCAUCAGCAUGUCCUCAUCCCUCUCCCUCCAGCGAAGAAGGCUGAGGCAGCUCCCCUCAGCAAAUCAAGUGCCAGGUAAGUGUGGGCCAACUCCCACAAAGGCCAGGAAAAGCUGAGCUGCAUCAGGCUGCCCGAGGGAUCCAGCAUGCGGGUUGCUCAGCUCUGGGCUUUGGCUCUCCAUCCCCUGGCUGCUUCGGGGAGGCAAUGACUGUGGAGAGGACCUUGCCUCCAGACGUUCCCCUGCAGACCCAAAGUCCUGAAGCUCCCCUGCAGCCGACAGUCACGUACCCACAGUGGAAGGGGGCUGUGCUCCCUGCUCCUGGGGCUGGGGGCAGGCAGAGCUGGGGACCUUCAGAUCCUACCUGAGAGUUUUUUUCUCUGUUGAUGCAGCUACCAAUUAGUAUGGAGUGUGCAGGCGGGGAAAGUGAUGGAGAAGAGAAAGGAGGCCUGGAAAAUCACUGGGCUGCGGCGCACUGCCUCUGUCUUGCUUCCGCGAUUGCGCUCUACACACAUUUCUAAUUUCAUUUCAUUAAGAUGUAAUAUUUAUCUUUAUUUCAAUAAUUUUUAUCUUUAUUUCAUUAAGAUUUAAUAAACAAAUAAACGGCUGUUCUACA